This is a non-coding RNA of Vicugna pacos (alpaca), 1801 nucleotides long. The record is from RefSeq and is a predicted model, not a curated record. Lineage: Eukaryota; Metazoa; Chordata; Mammalia; Artiodactyla; Camelidae.
GUGGGGCUCCCAGAAAACCCUGUGAUUUGCCUCUCUCUGAACGCUUCACGCACUCUGUCAUCAAGAGGACAUUUUACCGCCGGUACUGACGCCUUCCCUGGUGCAAAACCUUUCAUCUCAGAAUAUCAAAGAUUUUUGCAAGCACUAAUUCAUUAAUUAAGCCUCUUGAUGACUGUUCAGAGAAAGAGAGAAGAAAAAUGUAUUUCAAAAAGAAAGAGACUUAAAAUUCGGGUGGUAUGGGUGGCAGCUUCCUUGAACAUAGAAUGGCAUUUCACACGUGUCAUUGUGACCCCCCCACAAAUCCGUCACUGAAUCCAGAACAGACCUUUCUAUGAGGAUGCAAGUGUUUUUCAGAAUGUGAAACCUGGUGAAUUUGCUGAGAUUUAUCGGUUCACUUCGGAGUUGCUGUGGAAGACUGUGGUGCUAAAACCCUACCCCUGGGGAGAGGGAAGCCUGCCUUGGAUUUAAGCCAGGUUUUCAAGAAACUGCCUUCAAAGGCAAAGCCAAGAAAAAUGGUUGACUCUUUUGGUCUCAAUUAGUUGAAAUGCUGAAACGCAAAAUCAGUCAACAUAAAACAUUAUUGCCCCAGGUCCAAGUAAAAAUAAAAGAGACUGGAAAAUAUUUCCACUCUUUCCACCACCCAACACAUGUACUGUAAGUAAAGUUACAGCCAAUCCAGGACCAGGAUGUUGCUGCUUGGAAACAAAGGAUUAGGAAGUGAUGUAGGAAAAUGCUAGGAAUGUGUGCCCAGAAUCACAUGGUCAUUUUCCUACCCAGAAUCACAUAUACAAGACUCAUCAUUAUACUUUCUGCAUCCAUCCAAAUGCAUCUGUGGGUUACCAGAAUUAUCACUGGUAAUGUCGAGAAGAAUAUAAUUAAUUGGCCAUGAACACCCCAGUUUGUAAACCCACACUUUGAACGACUAUGACUAAGCCAGUACAGGCACCGUGCUGGGAUCACAUUUGAUUCUUUCAAGGUUUUUAGAAAUUAAUACGUAUGUCUACAAAACACACACUAGGGUUUAAUUAUUUCUAUUAAUCAAUUCAUUUUUAAACUUUCUCCCCUUCUCUGUCUUUCAACUCUUGACCACGUAGCUGAGCGGUGAAAUGUGGAGUAAUACAACAAGAAUGAAAAUUUUGACUUCACCCCGUAAGACCUGUGUAAUGUUGGGGGAAUUCACUUAACUUCUCUAAGAUUCACUUUCCUAACCUACAAAAUGGAAGCAAUUCCAGUAAUGACUUUGUGAAGAAAUGUUAUACACGUGGCCACCCAGAGACUCUCAUUUGUGUCUACCACGUGCUUCUUGGAGCAGAUCACACCCCAGAUUAGGUAAAGACUUGGAGCCCUCAUUAAAGAGAGGAUGAUGCCUAGAGCCCACCAAGAAAUACAUUAUGCAAAGCACAUUCCUACAUCGAAACACGUUAAAAGGAAUAAAUGUACCAAGGGACAAAAUCUAAACAAGGCUCAGCAAACAAUGUUGCAUUUUUGAAAAUGAGCAGAGUAGACAAUCCAGAAACAACGCGUAGAGCCACUCUGUCUCCCUGUGUGAUGCCUUUGCAGUCAAACUCUGAAGCUGAAGACUUAAUUAUCCCAAAAGGAAGGGAGGUCUCAGAAAUCUACGCCGAUAACCCUUCAAGGUGAAUACCCAAGUUUAGUGUUCUCCUAACCACAGUGGUAGACAAUUCUCUGUAAUUUUUUGUUACCACUUAUCAAGCAUAUAUUGAGUGAGUUUUGUGUGUUUGAUUCUGUAGUAGAGCGUGUUUAGAAAAGUCCAAAAUAUACGAUCCCUUCCUUCAAACAC